UCGUCCUCCGGCUCCGGCUCGGGUCUGGCGCUCGCUGGGCGAAGGGCCGGGCGGGGCUGCGGGGCCGGGCCGGGCAGGCCGCGGCGGCGCGGGGCCGGGCCGGGCCUCCUCCGCCUCCUCCUUCUCUUCGGGCCUCGCUCCUCCGCUGGCCACGGGCGGCGCCGGCCUCGGGCUCUCUCUCACCGGCCUCCUCCGCGGCGGCGGCGGCUCCGCGGCGGCUCCGAUCCCAACAUGGCGGCUCCGCGGCGGCGGGGCCUGGGCCUCCCUCGGGUUCUCCCGGCGGCGGCGGCGGCGGCGGCGGCUGCGGGCGGAGAAGGGAGGCGGGCGGGCGGGGAGGGGCAGGCCCGCGGCGGUGGCGGCGGCGGCGCUAGAGGCUCCCUGGCUCCCUCACUGGCCCCGGGGCGCCGCGCUCGGGCGGCGGCGGCGGCGACGGCGGCCGGGGCUCAUGGCCGGCUCGGGCUCGCGGCAGCAGCGGCGGCGCUCGCUCGCUCGCUCGUCCUCUCCUUCGCUCCUUCUCUGUGUCUCGGCUCCGGCGCGAGGCCGCCCCGCUCGGCUCCCCGCCCGCCCGCGAGCCUGCGAGCCUCGAGCCAGCCAGAGGCGGCGCGAGGGGGAGAGCGCGAGCCUGCGGCCUCCGCGCGCUCACGUGCCCAAAACACGCUCACGUGACGCGCCGACGCAGGCCCCGCCCCCGGGCGCCGGGCUGGCAUCCCCGCCGCGGCCGCCGCCGUGGCCGUUUGUCCGUCACUCCCUCCCCCGGCGCCGCGGCGCAUGAGGCUGGGGGGGCGGCGGGGGCGCGACCAGGCUCUCCCCCUCCCCGUUCCCCUCCCUUUCCCACCCUACCCCAGAACCGGAAAGAGCUCCAGGCGCCCGCAGCGAGCCCCAUCCCCCAUUGUCCCCCGGGGCGCUCUGGCCCCGGGCGGGGGGGGGUCUGCCUCCUAAUCCCUCGGACUCGGCUCCCGGUCCCGGCGUGUCCACGUGCCUCUGGGGCUCCUCUCCCUGUCUCUGACCUCUGUCUCUUCCUUCUUGUCUCUCUGACUGUCUCUCAGUCUCCUCAUUCUUAUCUCUCGGUCUCUAUCUCUCUGUAUCUCCCCUCUCUGUCUCUAUCCCUCUGUGGGUCUUUGUGUCUGUCUCUUCUUUCUUGUCUCUCGAUCUCUCUGUUUCCUCUUUCUUGGUUUUUUUUUUAUAUUUGGUUAGGCAGUGGGGUUAAGCGACUUGCCCAGGGUCACACAGCUAGUGUUAUGUGUGUGAGGCUGGAUUUGAACUCAGGUCCUCCUGAAUCCAGGGCCAUUGCUCUAUCCAUUGUGCCACCUAGCUGCCCCUGUUUCCUCUUUCUUAUCUCUCUGUAUCUCCCCUAUCUCUAUCACUGUGGGUUUCCUCUCUGUCUCUUCUUUCUUGUCUCUAUCUCUGUGUCUCCUCUUUCUUAUCUCUCUCUACCUCUCUGUCUUCCUUCUCUGUCUGUCUUAAUGUCUGUCUCUUUUCUUUGUCUCCCCCCUUCUAAUCUCUCUGUCUCUAUGUGUCUCCUCUUUCUUAUCUCUCUGUCUCUGUGUUUCUGGGUCUCCUCUCUGUCUUCUUCUGUGUCGUCUUUCUUGUCUCUCUGUAUGUCUCUGUGCCUCCUCUUUCUUAUCUUUCUGUUUCUAUCUCUUCUCUCUGUCUCUGUCUGGGUCUCCUCUCUGUCUUCUUUCUUGUGUCUCUGUAUGUCUCUGUGUCUCUUUGUUAUCUCUCUGCCUCUAUCUCUCUGUAUCUCCCCUCUCUGUCUUUAUCUCUCUGUGUCUCCUCCCU
RNAcentral lists this long non-coding RNA (1779 nucleotides) under Phascolarctos cinereus (koala). RNAcentral's name for it is "lncRNA (ENSPCIG00000032386.1)". Lineage: Eukaryota; Metazoa; Chordata; Mammalia; Diprotodontia; Phascolarctidae. The record is from RNAcentral.